This 1153-nucleotide ribosomal RNA is filed under the name Salmonella enterica subsp. enterica serovar Typhimurium. Its description in RNAcentral is "partial 23S ribosomal RNA". It matches the Rfam family "Bacterial large subunit ribosomal RNA", at positions 82 to 1378 of the family's 2925-position model. Lineage: Bacteria; Pseudomonadati; Pseudomonadota; Gammaproteobacteria; Enterobacterales; Enterobacteriaceae. The record is from RNAcentral.
UAAGGUGAUAUGAACCGUUAUAACCGGCGAUACCCGAAUGGGGAAACCCAGUGUGAUUCGUCACACUAUCAUUAACUGAAUCCAUAGGUUAAUGAGGCGAACCGGGGGAACUGAAACAUCUAAGUACCCCGAGGAAAAGAAAUCAACCGAGAUUCCCCCAGUAGCGGCGAGCGAACGGGGAGGAGCCCAGAGCCUGAAUCAGCAUGUGUGUUAGUGGAAGCGUCUGGAAAGGCGCGCGAUACAGGGUGACAGCCCCGUACACAAAAGCGCAUGUGCUGUGAGCUCGAUGAGUAGGGCGGGACACGUGGUAUCCUGUCUGAAUAUGGGGGGACCAUCCUCCAAGGCUAAAUACUCCUGACUGACCGAUAGUGAACCAGUACCGUGAGGGAAAGGCGAAAAGAACCCCGGCGAGGGGAGUGAAAAAGAACCUGAAACCGUGUACGUACAAGCAGUGGGAGCNNGGGCGUUAAGUUGCAGGGUAUAGACCCGAAACCCGGUGAUCUAGCCAUGGGCAGGUUGAAGGUUGGGUAACACUAACUGGAGGACCGAACCGACUAAUGUUGAAAAAUUAGCGGAUGACCUGUGGCUGGGGGUGAAAGGCCAAUCAAACCGGGAGAUAGCUGGUUCUCCCCGAAAGCUAUUUAGGUAGCGCCUCGUGAAUUCAUCUCCGGGGGUAGAGCACUGUUUCGGCUAGGGGGCCAUCCCGGCUUACCAACCCGAUGCAAACUGCGAAUACCGGAGAAUGUUAUCACGGGAGACACACGGCGGGUGCUAACGUCCGUCGUGAAGAGGGAAACAACCCAGACCGCCAGCUAAGGUCCCAAAGUCAUGGUUAAGUGGGAAACGAUGUGGGAAGGCCCAGACAGCCAGGAUGUUGGCUUAGAAGCAGCCAUCAUUUAAAGAAAGCGUAAUAGCUCACUGGUCGAGUCGGCCUGCGCGGAAGAUGUAACGGGGCUAAACCAUGCACCGAAGCUGCGGCAGCGACGCUGAUGCGUUGUUGGGUAGGGGAGCGUUCUGUAAGCCUGCGAAGGUGACCUGUGAGGGUUGCUGGAGGUAUCAGAAGUGCGAAUGCUGACAUAAGUAACGAUAAAGCGGGUGAAAAGCCCGCUCGCCGGAAGACCAAGGGUUCCUGUCCUCAGCUAACUGGGGCAGG